This 497-nucleotide ribosomal RNA is filed under the name uncultured bacterium. Its description in RNAcentral is "partial 16S ribosomal RNA". It matches the Rfam family "Bacterial small subunit ribosomal RNA", at positions 28 to 507 of the family's 1533-position model. The record is from RNAcentral.
GAUGAACGCUGGCGGCGUGCCUAAUACAUGCCAGUCGAGCGAACGGACGAGAAGCUUGCUUCUCUGAUGUUAGCGGCGGACGGGUGAGUAACACGUGGAUAACCUACCUAUAAGACUGGGAUAACUUCGGGAAACCGGAGCUAAUACCGGAUAAUAUUUUGAACCGCAUGGUUCAAAAGUGAAAGACGGUCUUGCUGUCACUUAUAGAUGGAUCCGCGCUGCAUUAGCUAGUUGGUAAGGUAACGGCUUACCAAGGCAACGAUGCAUAGCCGACCUGAGAGGGUGAUCGGCCACACUGGAACUGAGACACGGUCCAGACCCCUACGGGAGGCAGCAGUAGGGAAUCUUCCGCAAUGGGCGAAAGCCUGACGGAGCAACGCCGCGUGAGUGAUGAAGGUCUUCGGAUCGUAAAACUCUGUUAUUAGGGAAGAACAUAUGUGUAAGUAACUGUGCACAUCUUGACGGUACCUAAUCAGAAAGCCACGGCUAACUACGUG